This 258-nucleotide ribosomal RNA is filed under the name uncultured archaeon. RNAcentral's name for it is "partial 16S ribosomal RNA". It matches the Rfam family "Archaeal small subunit ribosomal RNA", at positions 748 to 1008 of the family's 1478-position model. The record is from RNAcentral.
AGGGUGUAAACGCUGCAGACUUGGUGUUGGAAGUCCUUUGGGGGCAUUCAGUGCCGGAGAGAAGUUGUUAAGUCUGCUACUUGGGGAGUACGUCCGCAAGGAUGAAACUUAAAGGAAUUGGCGGGGAGCACCGCAACGGGAGGAGCGUGCGGUUUAAUUGGAUUCAACACCGUAAACUCACCAGGGAAGACUGUUACAUGAAAGCCGAGAUGAAGACUCUGCUAGAUUUUCAGAGAGGUGUGCAUGGCGUCAGUGACU